This is a non-coding RNA of Biomphalaria pfeifferi, 742 nucleotides long. The record is from the annotation of a GenBank genome assembly. NCBI's taxonomy places the organism in Eukaryota, Metazoa, Mollusca, Gastropoda, Planorbidae.
GAACAAAAAACAAACUUGACAAUUUAGUCUAAUGUAUUUUUAUGUAUAGACCAUUAUUUGUUUAUCUAUGUACAACAUUUGAUUAUUCAUUUAUUUAUUUGUUUAAAAAAUGUAUUCGGUGAAUGUGUAAAUAGUAUAAAUAUGAAGGCGAUGUCCAACUGUAGGCUCUUUAAAGGUCUUCCGAUGAAAAAGUAUUAUACUCCAUAAACAGCUUUGUUGAUCGCAAGUUAUAAAUUACUUCGAUGUCAAAUGUAUUGAGUUUAAUGACUAUAAGGGAAUACAUCUUUUUUUAAUGUAUAAACUGAACUGUCUCAACCUCUUUAGAAGGUAUGUAAUACACACAACUGAAAUAUUUGUAUCUAUUAAGUAUAUUUUAAAAUGGUCUCUUAAGUGGAACUGUAUUCUCGUUCUUGUUGCUAGAGACUCACAUCUGUCAUCACUAAGAAACAAAUGCAUCAACAUUUGCUUUGCAGUCUAAAGGGAAAUAAAACUUCUGUGGUAAAUACAACAAAUGGCAUUUUUUCCCUGACUAGAUCUUAUGGAUUUUAUUCACUUUUUAUGUGACCAUAUCCUAUUAUUAUUAUUGAUUUAGACAAAUGUCUCCGAGGGUAUCUGAGAUAUUGUCCAACCCUCACAUUCCAUUUUGAAAUACAAUUAUGGGAGAAUUUUAAAUGUUUUAGGCGAGUACUUUGUAAUUGUCUACAAAUUGAACAAUUUAAUAUUUAAAAACAGAUAAUCCUAA